CCUCGAAUCAGGUGGGACUACCCGCUGAACUUAAGCAUAUCAAUAAGCGGAGGAAAAGAAACUAACAAGGAUUCCCCUAGUAACGGCGAGUGAAGCGGGAUGAGCUCAAAUUUAAAAUCUGAUAGUCUUUGGCUGUCCGAGUUGUAAUCUAGAGAAGUGUUUUCCGCGUUGGACCAUGUACAAGUUUCCUGGAACGGAACGUCAUAGAGGGUGAGAAUCCCGUCCUUGACAUGGACUACCAGUGCUUUGUGAUACACUCUCAACGAGUCGAGUUGUUUGGGAUUGCAGCUCAAAAUGGGAGGUAAAUUCCUUCUAAAGCUAAAUAUUGGCGAGAGACCGAUAGCGAACAAGUACCGUGAGGGAAGGAUGAAAAGCACUUUGGAAAGAGAGUUAAACAGUACGUGAAAUUGUUAAAAGGGAAACGAUUGAAGUCAGUCGCGUUUGCUUGGACUCUGCCUUACCUCGGUUUGGUGCAUUUCCUUGUGAACGGGCCAGCGUCAAUGUUGUUCGUUGGAAAAGGGUUAGAGAAAUGUGGCUCUUUCGGGAGUGUUAUAGUCUCUGAUCGUAUACAACGGCUGAUAUUGAGUGGUACAGCAUGCUUCGGCGGUGCUUGUGCUG
Molecule: ribosomal RNA, 618 nt
Filed under: uncultured Basidiomycota
Lineage: Eukaryota; Fungi; Basidiomycota
Description: LSU rRNA
Rfam family: Eukaryotic large subunit ribosomal RNA
Source: RNAcentral